GGGCGCGUAACUCAGUGGUAGAGUGCCACCUUCACACGGUGGAAGUCGCAGGUUCAAGUCCUGCCGCGCCCACUA
Molecule: transfer RNA, 75 nt
Filed under: Myxococcales bacterium FL481
Lineage: Bacteria; Pseudomonadati; Myxococcota; Myxococcia; Myxococcales
Description: tRNA-Val
Rfam family: tRNA
About the family: Transfer RNA (tRNA) molecules are approximately 80 nucleotides in length. Their secondary structure includes four short double-helical elements and three loops (D, anti-codon, and T loops).
Source: RNAcentral